This 4059-nucleotide long non-coding RNA is filed under the name Sus scrofa (pig). Its description in RNAcentral is "lncRNA (ENSSSCG00030073010.1)". The record is from RNAcentral. Lineage: Eukaryota; Metazoa; Chordata; Mammalia; Artiodactyla; Suidae.
UAAGUGUCACGUUUCAAUAAGUUUUUAAGGGGAGAAUGCUGUUGUGAUAGUGGCUAAGACUUAAAAUGGACCAGUUUUUACUUUUUUCGUGACCUAUUACAUCCUUUGCCUGCUUUUCUGUUAGGCUUGUUUUAUUGAUUUGUAGUAGUUCUGUAUAUUUUGGAUUCUAAUUCAAUAAAACAACGACAAAAGGCAUGGAAAGACAAUUAGAAAAAGCAGUACAAAUAACUCUUAAACAUGCAAACAAAAUUGCCCACCCUUACUCAAGAUAAAAAUAACUAUGGUUUAGCAAGUGUUUACUGUGUGCCAGGCACAAUUCUAGGGCUGCACCCACGGCAUAUAGAGGUUCCCAGGCUAGGGGUCAAAUGGGAGCUGUAGCUGCUGGCCUACACCACAGCCACAGACAGCAAUGCCGGAUCCGAGCCACGUCUGCAACCUCCACCACAGCUCAUGGGAAUGCCAGAUCCUUGACCCACUGAGUGAGGCCAGGGAUCAAACCCGCAACCUCGUGGUUACUAGUCGGAUUCAUUUCUGCUGUGCUGCAAUGGGAACUCCGUAUAUGUAUUAACAAAGGGAAAAACAAUCGAAAUAUGUAUUAAUUUUGUGUGUGUAUUUCUAAUAGUUUGUGUAUAUGUGUAUAUACACCUAUAUAUGUAAAAUAUCUCCAGGCAUACAUAAGAAACAGAGGAAAUUAUAUGCCUUUGGAGAAGAACAAGGUGUUUGCGUUCAAGAAUAGUAAAACAACUUUAGGAGUUCCCUUGUGGUAUAGCAGGUUAAGGAUCUAGCAUUGUCUCUGCUGUGGUGUGGGUUCGAUCUCUAGCCUGGGAACUUUUGCAUGCUGUGUGUGUGGACAGAAAAACACUUUAAAAUGUACUUUUUGUAUUUUGGACUGUACGACCUUACAUUAAAAAUGUUAAAAUGAAAAUAUGCUUAAAAAGAAAUCUAGAUGGUAUUAAUUAAGAUUAAUAAGGGGUCAUUUGAACUGGUUCUGCAGUUGGUUUUUCAGAAUAGUGAAGGUCUCAAGAAUGUUCAAGGUGUUUGUUUUGUUAAGUUUUCCCAAAAGGUAGCAGCUAAAGAAUGCAUUCUUGGUUGGUGCCGCCCAGUUGCAAUGGUAGAUGGAAACAUUCCAAUAGCAGUGCCAAUGCCAUGUAUUUAGCACUCUGAGGAAGAACAGACUGUGCCAUCCUCUCUUUGUUUCUCUUCCCUUUAUCUUUCAAGAACACUGUAGAGAUAGUGUUUCUCUCACAGUUUUAAAGAAACGUUUGCAAUCCACAUAAACAAUUGCUACACUAAACUACAGCUUCUCAUUUGUAGUGCUUGUAUUAUAUCUCCUUAGUAUCAUCAGAAACUCCAGACAUACUUAGGUAAACAGAAGAUUUGGGCUGCAAAUGGGAAAUGAUAAGAGUAUAUACUUUGCAGGGAUAUGAAAAAUCUCUCAUCAAAUCACAUUCUUAGGAUAUAACCAAGUUAUCUACAUAAAUAUAAUUAAAUCUAUUGUUUGCUAGUGUUGUACCUUGCUGUUCUUUGUUCUUCGUGAGAUUAAAUUGGACUGUGCUAAUGUCAAGUGACAAGAAUACAUAUACAUAACACUAGUUCUUUGUACCAAAGCACGAAAUAUUUGGAGAGAACAGAGGCCAGGAGUGGUGGCUGGCACUGUAUCAUCUAGACUGGAAAUGGAUGGUACUAAUCUAAGAAGGUUUUAUAAGAUGAAGAGAAUAAAGUAGAAUUUUGAAGGUGGAAAGGAAAUGGAUCAUUUUUGGGAGACUGUUAAUAGACUUUUCAGGGAAGUCACAUGUAAAGGAUGACAAAUUUUUGCCAAAGUAGAAGAAAAGUGAAAGUAAUAAGGUAAGAUGGAGGUUGUGGGGGGAGCUUUACACUCAUGAGAGAGGAAUCAUUCAGAAUAUGGGUUUUAGAGUCAUACAUGGAUUUGAGUCCCAGUUUUACUACUUCUCAGGUAGGUUGUCUUGGAGAAGUGACUUAAUGACUUUUCUGUGUUGCUUUUUAAAUUUCCAAAAUGGAGAUAAUUAUAGUGCUUAACCUCAGGCAAUAGUUGUGCGGAUAAAAUGAAAUUAGGCAUGAACACAUAUAGCCAAGUGCCUUGUACAUAGUAGGUGCUCAGUAGAUAUACAUUACUGCUCUUAAUGUUUGAGUUGAGUUGAGAACCAAUUGAAUCUUCUAGGUCUUGGAGUAUCAAAAAGCAAUAUGAUAUAUAAAGAGAGGUGUACUCAGAAAAUCUGUCACUUGUACAAGUCUAUAGGUUGAGUAAGUAAUAUCCAUUUAGUGGCAAUUCAAUUAAAAUAAGAUUCAAAAGAGUGAGGAAGGAUAAGGAAAUAACUUUUUAAUACAAAUAUUUUGUCUUUCCUUUCACUACCCCCACCAUGUAACUAACUUCGCGUUUACCUUGAGAGAGAUUGAAUGUGAUAAUGAGAGAAUACAUAGGAGCUCUUGAGAUAUAAGAAAUACUCAAGAAAUGCUAAUUUUACUCAUAUAAUUCUUUAUCUGCCCUUGCCAAAGGAUGACAUGGGAAAUAACUCUUCAGAAACAAGAUUCUAGAAAGUAAAGGAUAAAUGGGAAAGAUUGAGGGUAGAGGCAAACACUGAUUACCAGAUAGUUAGGUUGUAAACUCCAGUUGUGUUGAAUGAGCAGUUAUAACUUCUUAUACAAUCAAAGUGAACAAGAUUUAACGUGAGCAGACUAGAGAGAAAAGUCAAAGAUUUAUGGGGAGUUUAAAAACUUGGACACCGGAGAACAUAUCGGUCUGGCUGACUGAUAGGAGUGUUAGGAAAGAUGUUUUGGAUGUGUUUAGUUUUGGAUGACUGUAUAACAUCUAAGUAUAUGCCUUGUGUGUAUAUAUUUCUUGUGUAACAAAAAAUGAAAGUCUGAGGAUAGGAUAGGAUAAGAGAAAGGGAUAAUGUUCGCCAAUGAUUCUUAAAUAUUCCAAGACUGUAUUUCUAUCUUCCUGUUUAUAGAAUUGAGAUAAUAAACUCCUGACAUCAAAUACAUUUAUACUCCAUUUGAAGUAUUUUUCUGGCUUAAAAUUCUUAGUAUAAAGCAAAAGCUUUAGUAGACGUGUGCAGUGUUCUGUUAUCUGUCAAACUUGUGAUUCCCAUUUCUGGGCUACAGGGAGCACUUUGGAUGGUGGGCCAUUCAGAUGCCUUUUUGUAAAUACGAGUAUUGACAGAGGGAUUGUUUUUUAUGCUUUUUGUGUUCAUAGACCUGUCCUUUGGCUUUUUAUCUUAAAUAGUAAAGAAGAUAGUGAAGAUAAAUAAUUGUGAUGUGUCUAUUAUUAUGCUGGUAUUUAAAAUAUCUUCCAGAAAAAUUUUUCUGUAGAUAGAAAUAAAGCAGGAAUUUUUCCAGGAUGGGGUUUUCUUUCGAAGCACUGGAAAUGUAUUCAUUUUGUUUUAGAUGUUACUUAAAAUGCAGUUAUUCAGUAGUAUUCUUUUGAUCAUAUGCAAAUAAUACUGUCCUCCAUAUGCAGGCUUUUUAGCAAUUAUUUGUUAGAGGCAAUGUGUAACAAUAGAUAGCAUCUUUUUUUCAAGUCUUUCCUGCUUGGCUUUUAUAUUAUUACUUACAUGUGCAUUAGGGACUUAUUAGUGACUCCUAGCACACAUUCUUCCAUCCCUUAGCUAUAGCAAAACCUACAAAUAAUUUUUUCUCCUUUCCUUUCAAAAAUUGGCUGUUUUUCUUUCCUAAGUCCUUGAUUUUCUUGGUGCAUUGACUAUAAUUUUAUAACCAUAGUGUAUUGUAUCUUUCUAUAUCAAGAAAAUUUUUAUUUGAAAAACAUUAGUUUUGGAGUUUUCCUGAUGGCUCAGUGGGUUAAGGAUAGGCAUUGUCACUGCUGUGGCUCAGGUCAUUGCUUUGGUAUGGGUUUGAUCCCUGGCCAGGAACCUCUGCAUGCUGUGAGCAUGGUCAAAAAAAAAAAAAGAGACAAUAUUAGUUUUAGGAGGUUCAUGGCACAGCAGGUUAAGGAUCCAGUGUUGUCUAAUACAGCAGCUUAGGCCACUGCUAUGGCACCAGUUCAAUCCCUGACCCAGGAACUUACACAUGGAAUGGGCAUGG